RNAcentral lists this ribosomal RNA (533 nucleotides) under uncultured bacterium. RNAcentral's name for it is "partial 16S ribosomal RNA". It matches the Rfam family "Bacterial small subunit ribosomal RNA", at positions 355 to 881 of the family's 1533-position model. The record is from RNAcentral.
UGGGGAAUUUUGGACAAUGGGGGAAACCCUGAUCCAGCCAUCCCGCGUGUGCGAUGAAGGCCUUCGGGUUGUAAAGCACUUUUGGCAGGAAAGAAACGUCGCGGGUUAAUACCCCGCGAAACUGACGGUACCUGCAGAAUAAGCACCGGCUAACUACGUGCCAGCAGCCGCGGUAAUACGUAGGGUGCAAGCGUUAAUCGGAAUUACUGGGCGUAAAGCGUGCGCAGGCGGUUCGGAAAGAAAGAUGUGAAAUCCCAGAGCUUAACUUUGGAACUGCAUUUUUAACUACCGGGCUAGAGUGUGUCAGAGGGAGGUGGAACUCCGCGUGUAGCAGUGAAAUGCGUAGAUAUGCGGAGGAACACCGAUGGCGAAGGCAGCCUCCUGGGAUAACACUGACGCUCAUGCACGAAAGCGUGGGGAGCAAACAGGAUUAGAUACCCUGGUAGUCCACGCCCUAAACGAUGUCAACUAGCUGUUGGGGCCUUCGGGCCUUGGUAGCGCAGCUAACGCGUGAAGUUGACCGCCUGGGGAGU